RNAcentral lists this transfer RNA (34 nucleotides) under Hypnum cupressiforme var. subjulaceum. RNAcentral describes it as "partial tRNA-Leu". The record is from RNAcentral. Lineage: Eukaryota; Viridiplantae; Streptophyta; Bryopsida; Hypnales; Hypnaceae.
UAAAAUCCGUUGGCUUUAUUGACCGUGAGGGUUC